GCUGACAGUAGCUGAAGGAUAACUGUUUACUGAACACUUGCUACUGCAAACUGAAGAAAUUUAGAGUUGGGGACAGCUGUAUGUGCUCCUGGCGGUAUAACUAUUUCUCAGUUUACGGCACAAUUAACCACAGCUCUGAGGUCGUGCUAUACUUUCAACUUGUAAUAUGAGCAAAAAACCUGACACGUACAAACACC
Molecule: long non-coding RNA, 197 nt
Organism: Bombina bombina (fire-bellied toad)
Lineage: Eukaryota; Metazoa; Chordata; Amphibia; Anura; Bombinatoridae
Exons: 3
Source: RefSeq, a predicted model, not a curated record